RNAcentral lists this ribosomal RNA (333 nucleotides) under uncultured Bacillota bacterium. RNAcentral describes it as "bacterial SSU rRNA". It matches the Rfam family "Bacterial small subunit ribosomal RNA", at positions 28 to 351 of the family's 1533-position model. Lineage: Bacteria; Bacillati; Bacillota. The record is from RNAcentral.
GACGAACGCUGGCGGCGUGCCUAAUACAUGCAAGUCGAGCGAAUCUUUGGGGGCUUGCUCCCAAAAGUUAGCGGCGGACGGGUGAGUAACACGUGGGCAACCUGCCUAUAAGACUGGGAUAACUUCGGGAAACCGGAGCUAAUACCGGAUAGAUUCUUUUCUCUCAUGAGGAAAGAAGGAAAGACGGUUUCGGCUGUCACUUAUAGAUGGGCCCGCGGCGCAUUAGCUAGUUGGUAAGGUAACGGCUUACCAAGGCAACGAUGCGUAGCCGACCUGAGAGGGUGAUCGGCCACACUGGGACUGAGACACGGCCCAGACUCCUACGGGAGGCAG